This 253-nucleotide ribosomal RNA is filed under the name uncultured Capnocytophaga sp. Its description in RNAcentral is "partial 16S ribosomal RNA". It matches the Rfam family "Bacterial small subunit ribosomal RNA", at positions 524 to 776 of the family's 1533-position model. Lineage: Bacteria; Pseudomonadati; Bacteroidota; Flavobacteriia; Flavobacteriales; Flavobacteriaceae. The record is from RNAcentral.
UACGGAGGAUGCGAGCGUUAUUCGGAAUCAUUGGGUUUAAAGGGUCUGUAGGCGGGCUAUUAAGUCAGGGGUGAAAGGUUUCAGCUUAACUGAGAAAUUGCCUUUGAAACUGUUAGUCUUGAAUGGUUGUGAAGUAGUUGGAAUGUGUAGUGUAGCGGUGAAAUGCUUAGAUAUUACACAGAACACCGAUAGCGAAGGCAUAUUACUAACAAUUAAUUGACGCUGAUGGACGAAAGUGUGGGGAGCGAACAGG